GCGGAAGUGGCGGAAUUGGAAGACGCACCAGAUUUAGGUUCUGGCAUUAUUUAUAAUAUACGAGUUCAAAUCUCGUCUUCCGCA
RNAcentral lists this transfer RNA (84 nucleotides) under Enterobacteriaceae endosymbiont of Plateumaris pusilla. It matches the Rfam family "tRNA". Rfam says of the family: Transfer RNA (tRNA) molecules are approximately 80 nucleotides in length. Their secondary structure includes four short double-helical elements and three loops (D, anti-codon, and T loops). Lineage: Bacteria; Pseudomonadati; Pseudomonadota; Gammaproteobacteria; Enterobacterales; Enterobacteriaceae. The record is from Rfam by way of RNAcentral.